This 1164-nucleotide ribosomal RNA is filed under the name Bacillus sp. (in: firmicutes). Its description in RNAcentral is "bacterial SSU rRNA". It matches the Rfam family "Bacterial small subunit ribosomal RNA", at positions 33 to 1178 of the family's 1533-position model. Lineage: Bacteria; Bacillati; Bacillota; Bacilli; Caryophanales; Bacillaceae. The record is from RNAcentral.
GGGCAUGGCGGCGGCUACACAUGCAGUCGAGCGAGUGUGAUCCAAAGCUUGCUCUUAUGAAGUUGGCGGCGGACGGGUGAGUAACACGUGGGUAACCUGCCCAUAAGACUGGGAUAACUCCGGGAAACCGGGGCUAAUACCGGAUAACAUUUUGAACCGCAGGGUUCGAAAUUGAACGGCGGCUUCGGCUGUCACUUAUGGAUGGACCCGCGUCGCAGUAUCUAGUUGGUGAGGUAACGGCUCACCAAGGCGACGAUACGUAACCAACCUGAGAGGGUGAUCGGCCACACUGGGACUGAGACACGGCCCAGACUCCUACGGGAGGCAGCAAUAGGGAAUCUUCCGCAAUGGACGAAAGUCUGACGGAGCAACGCCGCGUGAGUGAUGAAGGCUUUCGGGUCGUAAAACUCUGUUGUUAGGGAAGAACAAGUGCUAGUUGAAUAAGCUGGCACCUUGACGGUACCUAACCAGAACGCCACGGCUAACUACGUGCCAGCAGCCGCGGUAAUACGUAUGUGGCAAGCGUUAUCUGGAAUUAUUGGGCGUAAAGCGCGCGCACGUGGUUUCUUAAGUCUGAUGUGAAAGCCCACGGCUCAUCCGUGGAGGGUCAUUGGAGACUGGGAGACUUGAGUGCAGAACAGGAAAGUGGAAUUCCAUGUGUAGCGGUGAGAUGCAUAGAGAUAUGGAGGAACACCAGUGGCGAACGCGACUUUCUGGUCUGUAACUGACACUGAGGCGCGAAAGCGUGUGGAGCACACGGGAUUAGAUACCCUGGUAGUCCACGCCGUAUACGAUGAGUGCUAAGUGUUAGAGGGUUUCCGCCCUUUAGUGCUGAAGUUAACGCAUUAAGCACUCCGCCUGGUGAGUACGGCCGCAAGGCUGAGACUCACAGGAAUUGACGGGGGCCCGCACAAUCGGUGGAACAUGUGGGUUUAAUUCGAAGCAACGCGAAGAACCUUACCAGGUCUUGACAUCCUCUGACAACCCUAGAGAUAGGGCUUCUCCUUCGGGAGCAGAGUGACAGGUGGUGCAUGGUUGUCGUCAACUCGUGUCUUGAAAUGUUUGGGUUAAGUCCCGCAACGAGCGCAACCCUUGAUCUAGUUGCCAUCAAUUAAAUUGGGGACUCUAAGGUGACUGCCGGUGACAAACCGAAGAAAGGUGGGG